UGGGGAGUCUUGGACAAUGGGCGCAAGCCUGAUCCAGCCAUGCCGCGUGGGUGAAGAAGGCCUUAGGGUUGUAAAGCCCUUUCAGUCGUGACGAUGAUGACGGUACCCGCAGAAGAAGCCCCGGCUAAGUCCGUGCCAGCAGCCGCGGUAAUACGGAGGGGGCAAGCGUUGUUCGGAAUUACUGGGCGUAAAGGGCGCGUAGGCGGCAUAUCAAGUCAGAGGUGAAAGUCCCGGGCUCAACCUGGGAAUUGCCUUUGAAACUGAUAAGCUAGAGUCCGGAAGAGGAUAGCGGAAUUCCCAGUGUAGAGGUGAAAUUCGUAGAUAUUGGGAAGAACACCAGUGGCGAAGGCGGCUAUCUGGUCCGGUACUGACGCUGAGGCGCGGAAGCGUGGGGAGCAAACAGGAUUAGAUACCCCCGUAGUCC
This 424-nucleotide ribosomal RNA is filed under the name uncultured prokaryote. RNAcentral's name for it is "bacterial SSU rRNA". It matches the Rfam family "Bacterial small subunit ribosomal RNA", at positions 355 to 796 of the family's 1533-position model. The record is from RNAcentral.